GCACAGAAUAUAGUAAAGAAGGCGAGGCGAUUCGAAGAGACAAUUGGCAAAAUAAAAACGUGGGGGAGAGACCCCAAAGCUUGACUGCCCCUUCCCUCGUUGGGCCACUUCAAGUUCUCUUUCCUUCUCCAAAGGCCAUUUUUUCUUUUUCCUUUUCGGCCACACACAUAACCUACAGUACUGUUUACGCCUUUAAGAGGUAGAUAACCGAGAGGAAUGUAUACGUUAGAUUAUAUUUACAGAAUUGAUUAUGGCUAAGAAAUAUCAGAAAUCUUAACUAGAGCACGUAUCUUGUAACAACAUGUCUCUAUGUGCGUGAUAGGAUAUGUAUUGUGACAAUGUUUACUAAUCUUGACCAAAAGUUGUAUUAGUAUUAUAUGCUUGUGAUAAUGUUCAUCUACCAUUUGUUUAUGUAGUCAGUUAAAACCCUCGCAAGCCACCCCAAAAUAUAUAUGUAGAUAUGAUGAUGAUCUUAUCAUCACUACAUCUAUUGAUAUGUCAGUAAAACCCAAUUCAUUCUUUGCCGCUAAGCUUACUGUCCACGUGAUUUUCAAGUGGUGCCAUUUGCUUCUUCGGGAAAUAUGCUAGUGAUAAUGUUCAUCUACCAUUUGUUUAUGUAGUCAGUUAAAACCCUCGCAAGCCACCCCAAAAUAUAUAUGAAGAUAUGAUGAUCAUCAUCAUAUCAUCACUACAUCUAUUGAUAUGUCAGUAAAACCCAAUUUUUGCCGCUAAGCUUACUGUUCACGUGAUUUUCAGGUGGUGUCAUUUGCUCCUUCGGGGAAAACAACCAACAAGCAGACUUGUAUGAUCUCAACUCUCAAGACAAGAGUUUUGGAGGGGAGCGGGGGAGGACAGGGCAAAACUUUUCACACUCGGAAAAUAACUCAACAUCAUAAUACAAAAAAAAAAUUAACGAAUAUUGCAAGUUAACUUUUACGAAUCCAAAUAAUAUUAAUCGCUGACACCAUAUUUUUCACUAUAAAUCAAGAGACUCAUUUAUAUCAACA
This 1007-nucleotide long non-coding RNA is filed under the name Brassica rapa (field mustard). RNAcentral describes it as "long non-coding RNA (BRAP_LNC000765)". The record is from RNAcentral. Lineage: Eukaryota; Viridiplantae; Streptophyta; Magnoliopsida; Brassicales; Brassicaceae.